GAUGAACGCUGGCGGCGUGCCUAAUACAUGCAAGUCGAGCGAACGGACUAUAAUCUUUCUACUCUAAUAAUUUCGGCGGAAGGGGGAGUGACACAUGGAUAACAUCCCUAUCAUACUCUGAGAACAUCGUUGAAAACGAUCUCAAACCCCAGAAAAUUUUAUUAACUGUAUGUCUGAAGUUUAAGAGUUGCUUUCUCUAACAUCAUGAUAUGUCCGCGCUGCAUUAGCUAGUUGGUAAGGUAAAGGCCUACCAAGGCAACGAUGCAUAGCCGACCUGAGAGGGUGAUCGGCCACACUGGAACUGAGACACGGCCCAGACUCCUACGGGAGGCAGCAGUAGGGAAUCUUCCGCAAUGGGCGAAAGCCUGACGGAGCAACGCCGCGUGAGUGAUGAAGGUCUUCGGAUCGUAAAACUCUGUUAUUAGGGAAGAACAUAUGUGUAAGUACCUGAGCCCAUCGAGACGGUACCUAACCAGAAAGCCACGGCUAACUACGUG
Molecule: ribosomal RNA, 497 nt
Filed under: uncultured bacterium
Lineage: Bacteria
Description: partial 16S ribosomal RNA
Rfam family: Bacterial small subunit ribosomal RNA
Source: RNAcentral